CCUACGGGAGGCUGCAGUGGGGAAUAUUGCACAAUGGGCGAAAGCCUGAUGCAGCAACGCCGCGUGGAGGAAGAAGGCCUUCGGGUUGUAAACUCUUGUCUUCUGGGACGAUAAUGACGGUACCAGAGGAGGAAGCCACGGCUAACUACGUGCCAGCAGCCGCGGUAAUACGUAGGUGGCGAGCGUUGUCCGGAUUUACUGGGCGUAAAGGAUGCGUAGGCGGAUAUUUAAGUGGGAUGUGAAAUACCCGGGCUUAACCUGGGUGCUGCAUUCCAAACUGGAUAUCUAGAGUGCAGGAGAGGAAAGCGGAAUUCCUAGUGUAGCGGUGAAAUGCGUAGAGAUUAGGAAGAACACCAGUGGCGAAGGCGGCUUUCUGGACUGUAACUGACGCUGAGGCAUGAAAGCGUGGGGAGCAAACAGGAUUAGAUACCCCGGUAGUC
This 440-nucleotide ribosomal RNA is filed under the name uncultured Clostridium sp. Its description in RNAcentral is "bacterial SSU rRNA". It matches the Rfam family "Bacterial small subunit ribosomal RNA", at positions 338 to 795 of the family's 1533-position model. Lineage: Bacteria; Bacillati; Bacillota; Clostridia; Eubacteriales; Clostridiaceae. The record is from RNAcentral.